UUUCCGUAGGUGAACCAGCGGAAGGAUCAUUAUUGUAUAAUCGAGGUGCGAGGGCUGUCGCUGACCCGAAAGGUCGUGCACGCCCGAGUGCCCUCACACACAUCCAUCUCACCCCUAUGUGCACCACCGCGUGGGUCCCCCUUUGGCUUGUUCGGAGGGGGGCUUACGUUUUCACACGAACUUUGUAUGCAGUGUAGAAUGUAUUUUUUGUUUUUGCGAUCACGCAAUCAAUACAACUUUCAACAACGGAUCUCUUGGCUCUC
RNAcentral lists this unclassified non-coding RNA (263 nucleotides) under plant metagenome. Its description in RNAcentral is "partial contains small subunit ribosomal RNA, internal transcribed spacer 1, and 5.8S ribosomal RNA". The record is from RNAcentral.